This is a long non-coding RNA of Aphis gossypii (cotton aphid), 599 nucleotides long. RefSeq lists it as uncharacterized. The record is from RefSeq and is a predicted model, not a curated record. The transcript has 2 exons. Lineage: Eukaryota; Metazoa; Arthropoda; Insecta; Hemiptera; Aphididae.
UUGAGUACUUAGACGACAGUGCUACAAUUAAUAAUACACCAAAUAAUCAAACCUACAGGGCUAUAUUAUUUUAUUUUCACUUGUUUUUUUUUAUAAUAAUUUAAAAAUAAUAUGGCAAGUAAAACGAAUAAAAUUAAACGCCCAACAAGAAAAUAUAUAAGUCGUAAACUUAUAUUAAAACGAUAUAAUAAAAACAAAAGUCAUUUGUAAUUUUCAAACCAACUGACACCAAUACCCUGGAGAAGAAAAAUAAAAAAUAAAAAGAAACCAUCGCAUACGGACGAACGUUACCAACGACUGCUGGAUGAAGGUAUAACGACCGCAAUGACGGAAGUCAUACCACACCAGGUUAACAUCUACUAAAAAAACGUCAUCAUGCUAUGGAUGAGGAACUCGGCGGUGACGACGAGUUAUUCACGAUAUGCCAUAUGGUGGACAUCGAUCACAUCCCUGAACCUGAUUUCAUCCUCAGCUCUCAAACACAAGGCCCAGGAGUCUAAGCACUCAACUCUUAGAGGAGGGUUUGAAUAGUAGAUUGACUUACUAUAAUGAUUGUAUAGAUUAAGUAUUAAAUAUUAAAUCAUUGAAAAUUGUAUGUA